AUUGAACGCUGGCGGCAGGCCUAACACAUGCAAGUCGAGCGGAUGAAGGGAGCUUGCUCCUGGAUUCAGCGGCGGACGGGUGAGUAAUGCCUAGGAAUCUGCCUGGUAGUGGGGGAUAACGUCCGUAAACGGGCGCUAAUACCGCAUACGUCCUGAGGGAGAAAGGGAGGGAUCUUCGGACCUCGCGCUAUCUGAUGAGCCUAGGUCGGAUUAGCUAGUUGGUGGGGUAAAGGCCUACCAAGGCGACGAUCCGUAACUGCUCUGAGAGGAUGAUCAGUCACACUGGAACUGAGACACGGUCCAGACUCCUACGGGAGGCAGCAGUGGGGAAUAUUGGACAAUGGGCGAAAGCCUGAUCCAGCAACGCCGCGUGUGUGAAGAAGGUCUUCGGAUUGUAAAGCACUUUAAGUUGGGAGGAAGGGAAGUAAGUUAAUACCUUGCUGUCUUGACGUUACCAAAAGAAAAAGCCACGGCUAACUUCGUG
RNAcentral lists this ribosomal RNA (484 nucleotides) under uncultured bacterium. Its description in RNAcentral is "partial 16S ribosomal RNA". It matches the Rfam family "Bacterial small subunit ribosomal RNA", at positions 30 to 507 of the family's 1533-position model. The record is from RNAcentral.